GACGAACGCUGGCGGCGCGCCUAACACAUGCAAGUCGAACGGAGCUGAGAGGAGCUUGCUUUUCUUAGCUUAGUGGCGAACGGGUGAGUAACGCGUGAGUAACCUGCCCUGGAGUGGGGGACAACAGUUGGAAACGACUGCUAAUACCGCAUAAGCCCACGGCCCGGCAUCGGGCUGAGGGAAAAGGAUUUAUUCGCUUCAGGAUGGACUCGCGUCCAAUUAGCUAGUUGGUGAGGUAACGGCCCACCAAGGCGACGAUUGGUAGCCGGACUGAGAGGUUGAACGGCCACAUUGGGACUGAGACACGGCCCAGACUCCUACGGGAGGCAGCAGUGGGGGAUAUUGCACAAUGGGGGAAACCCUGAUGCAGCGACGCCGCGUGGAGGAAGAAGGUUUUCGGAUUGUAAACUCCUGUCGUUAGGGACGAUAAUGACGGUACCUAACAAGAAAGCACCGGCUAACUACGUGCCAGCAGCCGCGGUAAAACGUAGGGUGCAAGCGUUGUCCGGAAUUACUGGGUGUAAAGGGAGCGCAGGGCGGACCGGCAAGUUGGAAGUGAAAACUAUGGGCUCAACCCAUAAAUUGCUUUCAAAACUGCUGGCCUUGAGCAGUGCAGAGGUAGGUGGAAUUCCCGGUGUAGCGGUGGAAUGCGUAGAUAUCGGGAGGAACACCAGUGGCGAAGGCGACCUACUGGGCACCAACUGACGCUGAGGCUCGAAAGCAUGGGUAGCAAACAGGAUUAGAUACCCUGGUAGUCCAUGCCGUAAACGAUGAUUACUAGGUGUUGGAGGAUUGACCCCUUCAGUGCCGCAGUUAACACAAUAAGUAAUCCACCUGGGGAGUACGACCGCAAGGUUGAAACUCAAAGGAAUUGACGGGGGCCCGCACAAGCAGUGGAGUAUGUGGUUUAAUUCGAAGCAACGCGAAGAACCUUACCAGGUCUUGACAUCCGAUGCAUAGUGCAGAGAUGCAUGAAGUCCUUCGGGACAUCGAGACAGGUGGUGCAUGGUUGUCGUCAGCUCGUGUCGUGAGAUGUUGGGUUAAGUCCCGCAACGAGCGCAACCCUUAUUGCCAGUUACUACGUAAGAGGACUCUGGCGAGACUGCCGUUGACAAAACGGAGGAAGGUGGGGAUGACGUCAAAUCAUCAUGCCCUUUAUGACCUGGGCUACACACGUACUACAAUGGCGUUUAACAAAGAGAAGCAAGACCGCGAGGUGGAGCAAAACUCAAAAACAACGUCUCAGUUCAGAUUGCAGGCUGCAACUCGCCUGCAUGAAGUCGGAAUUGCUAGUAAUCGCGGAUCAGCAUGCCGCGGUGAAUACGUUCCCGGGCCU
This 1336-nucleotide ribosomal RNA is filed under the name uncultured bacterium. RNAcentral's name for it is "bacterial SSU rRNA". It matches the Rfam family "Bacterial small subunit ribosomal RNA", at positions 28 to 1381 of the family's 1533-position model. The record is from RNAcentral.